UCGAGGAUCUUCGGCAAUGGGCGCAAGCCUGACCGAGCGACGCCGCGUGUGCGAUGAAGGCCUUCGGGUUGUAAAGCACUGUCGAGGGGGAGGAAGGCCGUAAAAUCGGCUUGACCUAUCCCUGGAGGAAGCACGGGCUAAGUUCGUGCCAGCAGCCGCGGUAAGACGAACCGUGCAAACGUUGUUCGGAAUCACUGGGCUUAAAGGGCGCGUAGGCGGGCCAGCCAGUCUGUGGUGAAAUCCUCCAGCUUAACUGGAGAAGUGCCGUGGAUACUGCUGGCCUCGAGGAGGGUAGGGGCAUCUGGAACGGUCGGUGGAGCGGUGAAAUGCGUUGAUAUCGACCGGAACUCCGGUGGCGAAGGCGAGGUGCUGGACCCUUUCUGACGCUGAUGCGCGAAAGCCAGGGGAGCAAACGG
Molecule: ribosomal RNA, 416 nt
Filed under: uncultured bacterium
Lineage: Bacteria
Description: bacterial SSU rRNA
Rfam family: Bacterial small subunit ribosomal RNA
Source: RNAcentral